This is a non-coding RNA of Cubamyces lactineus, 96 nucleotides long. The record is from the annotation of a GenBank genome assembly. Lineage: Eukaryota; Fungi; Basidiomycota; Agaricomycetes; Polyporales; Polyporaceae.
GGCCACCUGGCGAAAUGGCAUCGCGUCUGACUACGAACAAGUCCCCGAGGGCUGGUAUUGAUCAGGAGAUUGCAGGUUCGACCCCUACGGUGGUCA